AUUAUUAUUAUUAUUAUAGUAAAUGCUGAGGUUUGUGUUUGGUCUCAUUUCAAAAACCAGGGUUGAAACAUGACAUAGCAUGAAAAAGCGUAAGGAGAGUGAGUCCCUGAAGAGGACUUUUAUGUUUCUAUGUGGCUCACAUGUAGUGGACUCACAUAUGAGACUGAAAGGAUCAGAGCAUCAGGAAGACCAGAAACUGACAGACUCAAUAAGUGUUCACUUAAACCUGGUAUCUGAGCACUUAUUCACUAUUUAUAUUCCAUUUUUAAUAACAUUUAUGCUGGUGUCUGUACAUUUUUGCUGUUGUUUAAAAAAAUAGUUUGUCUUUACACACAUUUUGAAUUUUUUAUUUUUUUUUUUAUUAACCUACCCAGUUGCACAUUCCUUUGAACCAGAUUCGCUUUUGUUUUGUUUGUUUGAAGAAUUUUUUGGGGCCUUUAUAAGAUAGUAAUCCGUCAGGAAGGGGGCAGACGUGCAGCAAAGGUGCCGAGGAAGAGAGUCAAACUCGCCUGCAGCCUCUGUAGCUCCAACUACUGCAGAGGCAAAUCGUAACAUGUCGUGAGAAAAUAACUAUUUGUUGAACUUUCAUGCACAGUAUUGAUUUAAUUAAAGAUUUAUCUCUCAAAUUUUUAGUCUGCUGUUUUGUGCGAGAAGAAAAGUGUGAAGUUUUCAGCCUCAAUAUUCUGAAAGACAAUGAAACGUCAGUGUAUCCUCCCACGAGGCUCGCGCAGGUUGCAAAUAUGAUUGCUUUUGGGGCUCACUAAAUAUUUGAAGCUCUUCACCAGCAAACAGUGGCGAAUGUUCAGUUGCAGAUGCUCCUGCUUUUUUUUUUAUUUUAUUUUCAUUAAGCGUCUCGCUCCCAUCUCGAAGCGCCGUCUGUUUAUGAGCUAACAUUAAACAGACCGGGGGGCUGUGAGGGGCGGGAGCUGCAAGGCGCAAAGAGUGGCAGCCUCUCUCAAAUUUAUGGAGUCUGCUUGGGAACGUAAAGUGCCUCAUGCGCUGCUGAGCUAAUUAGUUUUAUAUACUGGCACUAGCAGUUAGCUGAACACGAGUGGAGCAUCGGUUCCCCCCCAACAGAGGGGAACUCAUAGAGGAACAAGUAAAAGAUGAGAGGCAUCAAAAUGAAAUUAAUACAAUUGUACCAAAACAUAAAUUAAAGAAGGGGUUCUUGCACCAGAGUCACAAUUUACUGUGGAAUUUUUUUUCAUUAGCUUUUUUUUUAUAUAUAUAUAUCAACAGAACGCAAAUAUAUAGUUGUGUGGAGGUGGGGGGAAAAUGAGGGCAUCCUAUUAAAUAUUUAGUGUUUAACUGAGGAAUGUUCCCAUAUUGAUGCGUAAUCUCUAUUUUUCCACCUCUGAAAUAGAAAGUAAUGAGUAAAACGAAAAGAUUAAAACUUUGUUUUACUCAUUAACAUGAGAUAAACAAAAAAUGUAUCUGUAAGCAAAAAAUCUCAAUCAAACAAUCAGAACUUUGUGGUUGUUGCAAAAAUGUAAAGUGAGUUUGAAUACUUUUGCAAGGCACUUGUUUUACCUGCAUUUCAUUAAGUGCUGGGACUUGGUUAAAGUUAGUUGAGGGGUCUGUAAUUAAUCGCAGUUAAUCACAUUUUAAUCAAAAACUACAUAUUGACAAAAUAAGCGACGUCUUCCAUUCAAAAACUCUUUUUGCUGUUAAAUUAUUGAAUAAAUAGACAUGUGAGCUCAACUACAAAGAUACGUCUUGUUCUUAAUCUGUUAUUUAAGUUAUUCUACUAUCAGAUUAAUGCAAAUUGCCACUAUAUCCAGUCAGCUUUCAAGAGUUUCCCCUGAUUAUUCAUGUAACUUCUUUCCAAAAUACUUCUUUAAACUUGUGGACAGUGUGCAGACAUUAGCGUUGGGGACGGACGUUGUUGCUUGAUGAAAUGUGUUUAGCAUUGAGAUACUAUUUUAGGCUUGAAUGGCUUCGCUGAUUGACCAACUCACAAAUUGCAGAUAACAAUACAAAAUCUAACCUCCGUUGUGCCAAGAGUGGCCGCUAUAUCCAGUCAGCUUUCACCUACAGUUAUAGUUAGGCUUCAGACUUACGGACGGACCAGAAACACGCAAAUACGAUGUCUCCAAAGAAAAUAGGGUUUAAUUGUGUUUAAAUCUACAUAAAGUUUUGUCCCUAAUCUUCUUUCCUUUUACCAUGUAAUAUAGACAUUUCAUGCUCUUAAAAGUUACAGUUAAGGUUUAUAAAGAAAGUAAGUAAUAAAUGUUCUGGAACAUGUUUCAAGUGUCACAUGUUUCAAGUAAUAGACCAGCACAAAGAAGUGUAUAAUUGUAGGUGAAAGGAGGGAGUGCUGUGAAAUACGGCAGUGGCAGGAUCAUGCUAUGGGGACAGUUCUCUUCAGCGGGGAAUUUGAACAGAGUAGUUGGGUGAGAUGGACGGAUUUAAACACAGGACACAGGAGAUUCACCCGGACGUCAUCAGCGAACAUACAACCAGAGCUGCAGAUUAAAAUGUUCAGAUCCAAACAAAAACGUAUAUUUCUCUCUCAGACUGGUCAAGUUGUGAUGCAUUUUGAAAUAAAGCCGAGAUAUGUUACUAUUUACAGUUAAAAGACAUCAUAUGCUAAAUAUGCAUUUGAAUAGGUUGUCAGUUGCACAUGCACAGAGAACAUAAGUAUGAAUAAAAUUACUCUAUAUGUUUUCAAAGAAAUCAAGCCCCUUAAAUCUUGUCUACAUGCUGUGAACUUUGUGGCAGCCACGCUAACUCAGCAGUUUGGAGAUGAGGAUGCUUUGAGUUGGGCCUCGUAUGAUCCAAGCUUCUGCCUUUCCCUGAUUUUUACUCAGUCUGCUUUCUCCCUCGCAGUUUCACCGUAAUUAAUGUGUGUUUUAAAGUCGUGCACAACCGUACACACACUGACUGUAUUAUUUUUGCCAAGAGAUUCGUUGACUUUUCCAAGCGGAUCAACCGAAAAUGCGCAUUGCUUAUCAGCAAGACGUCAGCAAAAUACGGUAAAUACAAAUGCGGUCUAACAUCAGGAAAUGUUCUGUUGCUGCAGUAAUGCACUUCAAGUUUUUCUUUCUCUUUUCCCCUCACUGGUAUUUCUGGCCUGGUGAGUCUGUGUUUGUUUGUGUCCUUUCCCUCUCACCCCACAGCUGCUUAGUGCAGAUGGUCGUCCUUCCUGGAGUUUCAUUAUGACAGGGACAAUGGAUGAUGCAUAAACUCAGAACCCAUUAAUAAAAUAUUUUUCUCUUUAUUUUUUUACCUCUUACUUCUAGACAACAGGGUCUGCAACCUGCGGCUGCAGGGCUGCAUUUGACUCUUUUCACCAAAGGCGCUCUUAAUAAUUUUGUUCAAAGACUAUCGAGGCUUUUUCUCUUUGCAACUAAUGAGAUAAACUUUUUUUUUUUAGUUCAAUCAUUUAUUUAUUUUUUUUCAUAAGACUGUGUACAAGCGUUUCUUCAUUUUCCAUAAACAUGGGACUUUCCGAUCAAUAAAACACAUAUGUUUAUUUUGUUUUAUUUAAAUGGAUUUACAAUUUUAUUUUAUUUUUUAGCUAAAUAAAAAACAACAGAAAAUAUUGUCUCUUGAAUCUUGGAUAACUAUUCUGACCCGCCUUACUCAUCUAUAUUCUGCUGAAAUAAACAAUAUGUUUUCCCAGUUACUGGCCAUCUGCGGGCGACUGGAUAAAUCUAAAGGUAUCACUAACUGCAUUUUAGAGCAAAACCCUUUAAGACACAACUAGAACCAAGCGCCAUGCGAUCACCUGGUGACCUGUCCGAGGCAAAUCCCUCAUAAUGACUGUUGGACACAAACGCCAGCCCAGCCGUGACCCAAAGUGCUCAGGGUUUCCUACCUGCUUGGGAACCUGAGGCACCUCAGUUUACACAGGCCGGGUUUAUAAAUGCAAAUGUUACAUGUUAAGCUACAUUGCAGCAUAUUUUUACUAUUUGCGUUGAGAUCAACUAAUAAGAACCUUUUUUUUCUCUCUAUGUACUUACUUGAGAAAAUGUAAGUUACAUUUUGCUGCGGCUCACCACACAGGGUGAUACAGCUUCAAACUGGGGGCGCCACCCCACAAGCGACCCAGUGUUCAUGUGCAAGUGACACAAGCGACCCAGUGUUUGUUCAGUGUAAAAACUCUGAAAAAAUACUGCUUAGGGUAUAUUAUGAAACUGAAGUUGGAGUCAGGUGUGCAAACAUUCUACUGGGUAAUAAAUUAAAGGUGCAUUUCACUGUUUUCUGGAAUCUGGGCUACACUUGGUCAUCUCAAGUUCUAAAAUAAUCAGAUCCAACUUGAUCUGGAUCAUUCUUCACAAAAUGAUUUUCUGAAACACACUUGGAAAUCCAUUAAGUCUAUAUUUAAAGCUUAAUGCUUUAAAAAAAAAGUAUUAUCAAAAAAGUAAAAGUAGUAUAUAAAUAGCACUAUACAACCCAUUUUUUACCAGCGGUCCUUUUGUACAUCAAAACAGUUGGAUAUUUUGUCCAGCUAAUCAUAUAUCUGAGGCCAGAUCUUGGUUUCCCCAAAACCAUCCUGUUCUUAAUUAAUGCUAAAACAAGUUCUUCAAAUGACCAGGCUGCAACACAGAUUCUGCUGGAAACUAGAUCAAUUUGUGCCACAGGCCUCGGAUGCAACCAGCUAAUGUUCUGUGGCAUUUAAAGAAACUAAAGAACCAGAUCCCAUUUCAAUUUGCAUAAUUUUACUUAUUCAGUAAGUAAACAGGCAAAAUACAUGUGAUCAUUUCAGUGGUAAUAUAGCAGAUUUCACUAUAGAAAGGACACCAAAUAUCUUCCUUUGCCAGAUCUCAUAAAGCAGAACCCAAUUUGGGUGUUGAAUAAAUAAUUUAACGAUGUCGCCGCUUUUUCCACAUUUCAGGAAAUCAAUCCUGCAGGGAUAUUUAGGGUUAGGAUGAGACAGGGUGCAAAUUAAAACUGCUGGCCUUGUCGAAUUAAGACAUUUUCACUACGCAAAUUCGCCGCCUCUUUUUACGACCUAAAGGAGAACUUGAUAGACUUUCUGCAUUUUACAUUGUGCCAAAUAAAAUAAUUAGCACGCAUUUAGUCAUUCAGAAGCCACCAGUGCACGGAAAACAAAUUACUCCCGUAAACUGUUUCCCAUUUUAAGUGAGCGUGAUGCGUUGGCUUCGAUUGAGUGGGAGACUUUUAGAGGCACUGAGACGUGGCUGUACCAACUCACCCUGAAGCCUUUCGCAGAGAUCGGGGCUUUGUAGAGGCAGUUCAUGCGGUCGGAGCAACAUGAGCAAAUCCCCGUGUUAUUGGGACGUGUUCUCUCUGGUAUGGUAGCAGGGAUUUAUCUGCUGACUCAGCCUCUCAUACAGAUUAGCCGGGACAGGAGAGUCACCGAGGUGCAUGUUUAAAGGACAAGUUUGACAGACCAGGAUGAUCAACACUAAAUGGCUGGGAUAAAAGCCUCUGGAAUCACAUCCUGCGGCCAGGUUUUAUGUACAGCAUGUGCAUGAAAGCAAAGCGCACACUUCCUUGCUUGCUUCUCUCUGGUUUUGGUGAGAAAUAAAUUACAAUGUCAUUAACAAUGUGUCAGAAGGCUCCAUAAGGAUGAAACCUCCAAAUACAACACCGUUUGGGGAAUUGGUAAACAGCUAACAUCUGAAUAUGUAACAUCCAAAUGUCUUGUGGAGACAAGUUUUAUGGUCGAGUAAAAGAAACGCUGAGGAAAAAUACAAAAGUGAACUUUUAUGGAGCAGCCAACAGUUCCCGGUAUGUUCUGUAUGAUAUCUUAAUGGCAUGUCACAAAUAGAGUGAAAUUACAGAAACAUUUUGUUCUACCCAAGUGACUCUUUUGCUACAGAUGUUUGUUUCCACAUUUUGAUGCAGCCAUAAUUAGCUGUGUUACAUUUGGAUCGACCAUAGUUCAUUAUGAAGAAGGAAAGCUUCAGUUCAAAUCAAUAGUUGGACUAUUUGGUGUAUCAACAGGAUAAAGAGCCAAGAAAGAGUUGUUGAAAGUUUGCUCUGUGCAACUAUUUUGACACAUAUUUGCUUCUAUAAUUUAGAUUCUGUGUGCAUUAGAAGAUCUGCAAUAAAUUCCAUCUUUUGUACCCAAUCCUGUUUUUUUUUUUUGUUGUUGUUGUUUUUGUUUUAGGUGUUGUUGGGUCUGGUGGUAUUUAUUUGAAAGUGAUCAGACAGGCAAGUGGGCAAAGAGAGAAGGGGAAGACACACGGUAAAUGCCACCAGGUCGGGACUCGAACCUGCGCUACUACAGCACCCUCUGCUUUAUUACAUACGCCAUUAAAGCUCUGAAUAAAAACAGCCUUCAUGCCAUGAAUUUCUGUUAAGUUCUCACACUGUUCACUUCAGCACUGCAAUCAUGUUACUGUGUGUUAAGUGACAUCUGGCGCAAGCCUGUCCUACUUAAAGUUUUUAGAUUCACUAACCAGGUUCUGCCUGCGUCUUAGUGUUGAGCGACCAGCUGCAACCAGUCCACUUAUUAAAAGGAGUGCAGACUCAACACUUUGAAUUACUACUGCACAUGAGAGCUCUAGUAGAUAAACUCCUGAGAGAAACUACGUUAUUCUGUAACUGCAAGGAUAAAGGGUUGGGGAAAGUGGUGGUUAUUAAUUAAGUUAUACUGUAAGAAGAGUUGGAACAUGGGAGUUUCAAAGAUUUUGUGUUUCAUUUCUUGGUUUGCUUUCUUGUCUGCCAAGCACAGCUGUAAGUAAUCAUUACUGAAAUCUCUCCUGCUUAAUAUUGAACUGUUUGACAUAUGAGGAUAAGAGGAAAUGCAUCCUAAUAAAAUGACUAAUUGUUCCCCAUACACACA
Long non-coding RNA from Poecilia latipinna (sailfin molly), 6760 nucleotides. RefSeq lists it as uncharacterized. The transcript is spliced from 2 exons. Lineage: Eukaryota; Metazoa; Chordata; Actinopteri; Cyprinodontiformes; Poeciliidae. The record is from RefSeq and is a predicted model, not a curated record.